UUCAGAUUCGAUCGAAAAGUAAUUAAGAAAGUUUUUUAAGAAACUUAUUAAUUGUCUAACGUUUUAUAAAUAACACUAUUAACUAUCACUGGGUGAGAACACGAUCGAACACGUUUUUUUUUCAUAACUCUUAGUACGAAAUGAAGCCACGUAUGAAGAUUAUCUUCCAGAAACGUGUCGCACUUUCGUGACGGCAAGUACACGGCACACGUAGAUGACGUCAGACACCUUCGACCGGCGAGCCUUUUCGCUACAAAAACAGUUUUCUAUCUUAUCGACGCGUCGUCGUUGCGUCCUCUCAACGAAGAACUAAAACGUCUUUUCUUUUUCUCGAAUCGAACUUGGCGCGAAUUUUUACAACAAAAAUCUUUUAUAUAUAUCUCUUAUUCGUCUUAUUUAUUUUAAUCGAUUUAAUUAUAUCAAUUCGCAAUAUCAUUACGUUUGUCUAUAACUUCUUGUAAUAAUAAUGAUUGUUGAUUGGUCCGUUGCAAUAGAGAAUAUUUUUGAACAACGUAGUAAAAGUAUAAACAAAAGAACUACGCUUAAUUACGCCGAACUUCGCGAUCGUUUUUUGUUUUAACGUUCGAUCGGAAAAUUCGUUUUAAUCGUCGUUGUCGUGACCAUUUUUUUUUCUUGCGUUUCUUGUGAUAAGAAUUCGUUUCUUCGUUUGUUUAAACAGUGUACAUUUUUCCGUAGGAAGAUUCAAAUCGUUCCAAUAAUCUUAUGAAGCUCAAAUAUAUGCCGUAGUUCCUGUUAGCAGUGGCUUCUGUCCAUUAGUUGGAUAAGAUCUUCAGGCCGUUGAAUUGGACCUUUACUCUCCCGACCCCAAUUUGUAUCUUUCUUCCCAUCAUCUUGGUACCUUGGUACCAGCUCCGAGCUUUGUCGGUAUGCGAAAAAUGAUGCUGGAAUUUUGCUGAUAGGAUCGCAGCAUCGAAUGAACGAAGUUUAAGGCAUGAAUCGGAUCCCCGACGGUUCAUCCUGAAUGAAACGAGAAGGCGAGCUAUUAGUGUCCUGCGUGGCCAGUUGAAUGAGAAGGGCCGCCCUUUUUUGAUCUUUACAAGAGAAGCGUACAGGUUGCACCCCGUAGAGAAAGCCGCGGGCCCGUUUUACGCAGGUUGCUACAUACAGAGAGAAGAAACGGUCCUAUCGUCAUCCGAUACUAAUUGCCUUGGUCUAACUCGUACUGGGACCCUUUAUUGGGCCGAUCUUUUAAAGAAGAAGAAAAAAGGGAAAAAAGACCUUACAUUUUCCUUUUGAGAGAAAAAAAGAAAGAAAGAAAGAGAAAGAGAGAAAUAUAUAGGUACAUCUAUCGGUAUUGCGAGACUAUUCUUAUCUUUUCUUUUUUUCUUCUUCUUCUUCUCUCGAGAUAUUUUCACGCGCAGGUGUUUUACCACAAAAUUGCUUUUCGACGCAAUGUUGUGUUUGUCUGACGCAACAACAACAACAACAACAACAACAACAACAACAACAACAACAAC
Molecule: long non-coding RNA, 1478 nt
Organism: Vespa mandarinia (Asian giant hornet)
Lineage: Eukaryota; Metazoa; Arthropoda; Insecta; Hymenoptera; Vespidae
Source: RefSeq, a predicted model, not a curated record